UACGGGGGGUGCAAGCGUUGUUCGGAAUUAUUGGGCGUAAAGAGCGUGUAGGCGGCUUGACAAGUCAGAUGUGAAAUCCCUGGGCUUAACCUAGGAAGUGCAUUUGAAACUGUCAGGCUUGAGUAAGGGAGAGGAAAGUGGAAUUCCUGGUGUAGAGGUGAAAUUCGUAGAUAUCAGGAGGAACACCGGUGGCGAAGGCGACUUUCUGGCCCUAUACUGACGCUGAGACGCGAAAGCGUGGGUAGCAAACAGG
RNAcentral lists this ribosomal RNA (253 nucleotides) under uncultured bacterium. Its description in RNAcentral is "partial 16S ribosomal RNA". It matches the Rfam family "Bacterial small subunit ribosomal RNA", at positions 524 to 776 of the family's 1533-position model. The record is from RNAcentral.